CCUACGGGAGGCUGCAGUGAGGGAUAUUGGUCAAUGGGGGAAACCCUGAACCAGCAACGCCGCGUGAGGGAAGACGGUUUUCGGAUUGUAAACCUCUGUCCUCUGGGAAGAGAAUGACGGUAGCAGAGGAGGAAGCUCCGGCUAACGACGUGCCAGCAGCCGCGGUAAUACGUAGGGAGCAAGCGUUGUCCGGAUUUACUGGGUGUAAAGGGUGCGUAGGCGGCCCUGCAAGUCAGAAGUGAAAUCCAUGGGCUUAACCCGUGAACUGCUUUUGAAACUGUAGGGCUUGAGUGAAGUAGAGGCAGGCGGCAUUCCCGGUGUAGCGGUGAACUGCGUAGAGAUCGGGAGGAACACCAGUGGCGAAGGCGGCUUACUGGACUGUACCUGACGUUGAGGCUCGACAGCGUGGGGAGCAAAC
This 418-nucleotide ribosomal RNA is filed under the name uncultured bacterium. Its description in RNAcentral is "partial 16S ribosomal RNA". It matches the Rfam family "Bacterial small subunit ribosomal RNA", at positions 338 to 773 of the family's 1533-position model. The record is from RNAcentral.